AUUGAACGCUGGCGGCAUGCUUUACACAUGCAAGUCGAACGGUAACAGGCCUUCGGGUGCUGACGCGUGGCGAACGGGCGAGUAAUGCAUCGGAACGUGCCCAGCGGUGGGGGUUAAGGCAGCGAAAGCUGUGCUAAUACCGCAUGUGAUCUGAGGAUGAAAGCGGGGGACCUGGCGGCAAUGUUUGGCCUCGCGCCUUUGGACCGGCCGAUGUCGGAUUAGGUAGUUGGGGGGGUAAAGGCCUACCAAGCCGGCGAUCUGUAGCUGGUCUGAGAGGACGACAGGCCACACUGGAACUGGGACACGGCCCAGACGCCUACGGGAGGCAGCAGUGGGGAAUUUUGGACAAUGGGCGCAAGCCUGAUCCAGCAAUGCCGCGUGCGAUAAGAAGGCCUUCGGGUUGUAAACCGCUUUUGUACGGAACGAAAAGGCUCUGGCUAAUACCUGGGGCUGAUGACGGUACCGUAAGAAUAAGCACCGGCUAACUACGUG
Molecule: ribosomal RNA, 492 nt
Filed under: uncultured bacterium
Lineage: Bacteria
Description: partial 16S ribosomal RNA
Rfam family: Bacterial small subunit ribosomal RNA
Source: RNAcentral